Molecule: RNase P RNA, 336 nt
Filed under: uncultured Angelakisella sp.
Lineage: Bacteria; Bacillati; Bacillota; Clostridia; Eubacteriales; Oscillospiraceae
Description: Bacterial RNase P class A
Rfam family: Bacterial RNase P class A
About the family: Ribonuclease P (RNase P) is a ubiquitous endoribonuclease, found in archaea, bacteria and eukarya as well as chloroplasts and mitochondria. Its best characterised activity is the generation of mature 5'-ends of tRNAs by cleaving the 5'-leader elements of precursor-tRNAs. Cellular RNase Ps are ribonucleoproteins.
Source: RNAcentral
GCUGGACAACAGCGGGCGGGUGUCCGAAAGGCCCCGCAUGAGGAAAGUCCGAGCUCCACAGGGCAGGAUAACUGCUAACGGCAGCCGGCGGCGACGCCCGGGAAAGUGCAACAGAGAGAUACCGCCCCGCAAGGGGUAAGGGUGGAAAGGCGAGGUAAGAGCUCACCAGCUUUGGGGUGACCCAAAGGCUAUGUAAACCCUAUCCGGAGCAACACCAAGCGGGAUCACAGGGGGCUGCCCGUCCCGAUCCCCAAAAGAGUGGCUGGAGCCUGCUGGCAACAGCAGGCCUAGAUAGAUUGUUGUCCCAGACAGAACUCGGCUUACAGGUUCACUCCU